This 83-nucleotide small RNA is filed under the name Yersinia enterocolitica. Its description in RNAcentral is "partial RtT sRNA". It matches the Rfam family "RtT RNA", at positions 47 to 130 of the family's 130-position model. Rfam says of the family: This family represents a bacterial cis-regulatory element known as RtT RNA. The exact function of RtT is unknown although it is thought that it may be involved in changing the cellular response in relation to amino acid starvation. The record is from RNAcentral. Lineage: Bacteria; Pseudomonadati; Pseudomonadota; Gammaproteobacteria; Enterobacterales; Yersiniaceae.
GCCGAGCGUAGCGAGACAACGACGCGCAGCGGCGGCCCGAAGGGUGAGGAACGAAGUGACGAGUAAUCCUUCCCCCACCACCU